UCCCUGGUGGCUCAGGUGGUAAAGAAUCCACCUGCAAUGCAGGAGGCCCUGGUUCAAUCCCUGGCUAGGGAA
Molecule: transfer RNA, 72 nt
Filed under: Bos taurus (domestic cattle)
Lineage: Eukaryota; Metazoa; Chordata; Mammalia; Artiodactyla; Bovidae
Also listed under: 1 other name
Rfam family: tRNA
About the family: Transfer RNA (tRNA) molecules are approximately 80 nucleotides in length. Their secondary structure includes four short double-helical elements and three loops (D, anti-codon, and T loops).
Source: Rfam by way of RNAcentral